This 264-nucleotide ribosomal RNA is filed under the name unidentified marine bacterioplankton. RNAcentral describes it as "partial 16S ribosomal RNA". It matches the Rfam family "Bacterial small subunit ribosomal RNA", at positions 56 to 339 of the family's 1533-position model. The record is from RNAcentral.
UGCAAGUCGAGCGCGAAAACACUUCGGUGUGAGUAGGGCGGCGGACGGGUGAGUAAUGCUUGGGAAUCUGCCCAAUAGUGGGGGAUAACGUGUGGAAACGCACGCUAAUACCGCAUACGUCCUAGAGGAGAAAGAUUUAUCGCCGAUGGAUAGGCCCGCGUCUGAUUAGCUUGUUGGUGAGGUAAUGGCUCACCAAAGCAACGAUCAGUAGCUGGUCUGAGAGGAUGAUCAGCCACAUUGGGACUGAGACACGGCCCAAACUCC